This 763-nucleotide ribosomal RNA is filed under the name uncultured Streptococcus sp. RNAcentral describes it as "bacterial SSU rRNA". It matches the Rfam family "Bacterial small subunit ribosomal RNA", at positions 28 to 776 of the family's 1533-position model. The record is from RNAcentral. Lineage: Bacteria; Bacillati; Bacillota; Bacilli; Lactobacillales; Streptococcaceae.
GACGAACGCGGCGGCGUGCCUAAUACAUGCAAGUAGAACGCUGAAGAGAGGAGCUUGCUCUUCUGGAUGAGUUGCGAACGGGUGAGUAACGCGUAGGUAACCUGCCUUGUAGCGGGGGAUAACUAUUGGAAACGAUAGCUAAUACCGCAUAACAAUGAGUGACACAUGUCAUUUAUUUGAAAGGGGCAAUUGCUCCACUACAAGAUGGACCUGCGUUGUAUUAGCUAGUAGGUGAGGUAACGGCUCACCUAGGCGACGAUACAUAGCCGACCUGAGAGGGUGAUCGGCCACACUGGGACUGAGACACGGCCCAGACUCCUACGGGAGGCGGCAGUAGGGAAUCUUCGGCAAUGGGGGCAACCCUGACCGAGCAACGCCGCGUGAGUGAAGAAGGUUUUCGGAUCGUAAAGCUCUGUUGUAAGUCAAGAACGAGUGUGAGAGUGGAAAGUUCACACUGUGACGGUAGCUUACCAGAAAGGGACGGCUAACUACGUGCCAGCAGCCGCGGUAAUACGUAGGUCCCGAGCGUUGUCCGGAUUUAUUGGGCGUAAAGCGAGCGCAGGCGGUUUGAUAAGUCUGAAGUUAAAGGCUGUGGCUCAACCAUAGUUCGCUUUGGAAACUGUCAAACUUGAGUGCAGAAGGGGAGAGUGGAAUUCCAUGUGUAGCGGUGAAAUGCGUAGAUAUAUGGAGGAACACCGGUGGCGAAAGCGGCUCUCUGGUCUGUAACUGACGCUGAGGCUCGAAAGCGUGGGGAGCGAACAGG